Molecule: ribosomal RNA, 254 nt
Filed under: uncultured bacterium
Lineage: Bacteria
Description: partial 16S ribosomal RNA
Rfam family: Bacterial small subunit ribosomal RNA
Source: RNAcentral
UACGUAGGGGGCGAGCGUUGUCCGGAUUUAUUGGGCGUAAAGAGCUCGUAGGUGGUUUGGUGAGUCGGAUGUGAAAUCUCCAGGCUCAACUUGGAGGGGUCAUCCGAUACUGCCAUGACUAGAGUUCGGUAGAGGAGUGUGGAAUUCCUGGUGGAGCGGUGAAAUGCGCAGAGAUCAGGAGGAACACCCGUGGCGAAGGCGGCUCUCUGGGACGGUACUGACGCUGAGACGCGAAAGCGUGGGGAGCGAACAGG